RNAcentral lists this long non-coding RNA (1360 nucleotides) under Trifolium pratense (red clover). Its description in RNAcentral is "long non-coding RNA (TPRA_LNC012195)". Lineage: Eukaryota; Viridiplantae; Streptophyta; Magnoliopsida; Fabales; Fabaceae. The record is from RNAcentral.
AGAAGAGACUACAAGGCAAACCCACAUACAAAUAAAGGGUGACCCCUCAAUAUACAAAUAUCAACAUCAAAAUCCUGCUACACAAAAUUAUAAACCAAAAUCAACACACCAGAAGCCAAAAACACCAAGACAGUAGCCCGCAACAAAAUUGAAACUAUUACCAUUGNNNUAGUAUUACAAUUUAAGAUGCAUGGACAAAUCAAUGUGAAACUGCAAGUAGUAAAGAGAAUCACCUGCCUCAGUCAAGAGAACUAUGAAUGUGUAUAGCUCAAGUAACAUAUCUCAUGUACAAAACAAAACUAUGAAUUUUAUUUAAAUAAAUGAAUGAACAAUAGCUUUUUUUUUGUCACUAUAGUUACAUUAUAUUUCCUAUUCUCAUUAACAAUUGCUUCUCUCCCUUGCAGCUGCAAAGUGAACACUGACAUGCUUCUUCUUUUCAAAUCUCAGCUUGUUGCNNNNNNNNNNNNNNNNNNNNNNNNNNNAACACUAGUUCAUAAUAGAAGGACAACAACAUUAUAAUAUAGAUAAGGUGAUGCUUACCUGAACAAGGCAAAUAGUAAUAUUCCUUCUUUGAUUUCCAUAAAGUUAUAUCAACUGCAUGCAUUCAAAAUUGACACAUCCAUUGAAGAAGGCUGCAUGGAACAAAGAAUGGAUUUCACAUAAUACCACAUAGUAAACAAAUCAAAUUAAUUUCACUUUCCCAUAUCAAUCUAUCAUUCAAAUUGGUUACAGAAAGACAUGACAACACACAAUUUAAACCAGAAUGUUAAUAAAUUAACCUCAAACUAACUUCGAUUAUUUGGAAAUCCUUCAACGAAUAAAAGGUGGAAGCAGGUCAAAAACCGUAUUCUCAGAAGAACAAUUGCACACAUUGCAGAAAUACAGAUUAAACUAAAAAAUGCAAAUAAGUGAGAAACCUUUAUUGACAUUCUGAACCCUAGAUCUCAUGUCCUCCACUUUUGGUUAAGUUCAUAGUAACAUGAUCUGGAACCAAAUAAGUUCACAAUCUGACUUCUGAAGAAAGCUCUAAACUAAUGGAAAACCCAGAUUCAUGGAAAACAAAUCGCAAAUUCAUGGACUUCUGAAGCGUUUUCGGAAGAUAGAAACCGAAUCGAAGCGUUUUCGGAAGAUAGAAACCGAAUCGAAGCGUUUUCGGAAGAUAUAAACCGAACCUAAGCGUUUUCGAAAGAUAGAAACCGAAUCGAAGCGUUUUUGGUAGAUAGAAAUUGAAUCAAAUCAUUUUCGGUAUAUAGAAACCGAAUAUAAGGAAGAUGAAGAUGUUAAGAUGGCGUUUUCAGAACACAGAAGCGUUGUUGUUCUGUUUUCAUCAACACAACACAACCCAAAAACAUAACAAGUN